Melitaea cinxia (Glanville fritillary) is the source of this 300-nucleotide long non-coding RNA. RefSeq lists it as uncharacterized. The transcript is spliced from 2 exons. The record is from RefSeq and is a predicted model, not a curated record. NCBI's taxonomy places the organism in Eukaryota, Metazoa, Arthropoda, Insecta, Lepidoptera, Nymphalidae.
AUUAAAAUUGGAAGUUAACUGCGCACGAAGUAAUUUCAUUUAUGCGUUAUCUUUGAACAGAUCACUUCAAAAUGAAUAUAAUUCUGUACGUUUUGUCGGUUGUUAUUUUCUUAAAGAAUGUCGUCGCACAGGUACCGUAUGACUACAUACCUCUAGGCCAGGCACGCCGCGCCUCGCCGCGUGCUCACCCAUCCGACAUUAAUCUCAAUUACGAGCGCCUGUUCCCUUCACGACGCAAAUAUAUUGAUUGAAUAUAACAUAAUUAAUGUUUAAUUUUAUAAUAAAAUAUUUUCAUUUUUA